Cannabis sativa is the source of this 10182-nucleotide long non-coding RNA. RefSeq lists it as uncharacterized. The record is from RefSeq and is a predicted model, not a curated record. NCBI's taxonomy places the organism in Eukaryota, Viridiplantae, Streptophyta, Magnoliopsida, Rosales, Cannabaceae. The transcript has 3 exons.
CCUCAUCUACUAUUCUCUCUCUCUCUCUCUAAUUCUAUAAAAACCAGAUCUUGAAUCUCCACUACCUCUCUCAUCAAUCAUCAUCACCUCACAUAUACAUAUUCUUCUUCUUUUCUUCUUCUUUUUUUCAUCGUACAAACAUAAACAUUACAUCAUAUGUUCUGAUAUUUUAUAUAUUUAUAACAUCUUCUGAUCGAUCCUCAUCACUUUCAUCAUACCUUCUUCUUCUUCUUCUUCUUUUCAUGAGUUUUGAUAAUAAUAAUAAUAAUUAUUAUUUUUUUUUUUUUAAAAAAAAUCUCUAUGAAUCCAUCGAAGAUGGGGGGACGAUCUAUGGCCUAAUUAGAAGUAGCAGUAGACCCACACCCACACCCACACCCACACCUGUAGCUUAUCUUCUUGGCUUUUAGGUUUUAAUUUCAAAAGUCGUUGCCCCAUCACUACUCCCAUCCAUCUCCGCCACCAUUAUCUAUAUUUAUUUUUAUUUUAUCUAUUUUUUCUAUAUUUUAUUAGGGUUACAACUUCCACACCAGUAAUUGGUGUGUCCUUUUAAUAUAUAUAUAUAUAUAUAUUAAAUAAUAUAUAUAUUUUAAAAUCAUCGUUUAUCUGAAAUAUUUUCCUCGUGGAAUCUGUGUAAGUCUCUAUUCGAUCGAAGUUUUAUAUAAUAAAUAUAUAUUUGUCGAAAUUAAACAAAAAAAGAAGUCAUUAUUUGCAGGUGCAUCAUCAUCAAGAUUCACAAAGUGACAAUAUUGGUGUUUUCAUAAACCUAAUAAGUAAGACGGUAUAUCUGAUCCCCUGAGAAUCUUGAUGAUGCUGCAUCAGCAACUAUAUGACUAUAGAUAUAUACAAAACGACGACGUCAAAUCACUGCUCCAAACCCAAACCCAAAGCUAUAAAGACAGACAGAAUAAUCAUCCAUGCUUCACAUAGUCACCGUCUCAGCUUACUAAGCUAAAUUCGAGAUGUAUAUAUUGCCCUUUUCAACAAAGGUAUAUACUGCCAUUAAUUCCAGGUAGCGAUCGAUUAAUUACAAGUAAUAAUAUAUUGUUUUAAGUGACAGUAAUUAAUGGUAUAUAUAUAUGGGAUUCUUAUUUUAUUUUAAGGCACCCUCGUAAGUGUUAGUAAUUUCCCAAAGAUAUAGCAGAAAAAAAAUUGUACCAAUAACAUUAUAACCAUACCCUUAGCAUUUCUCAUAUACAAAUAUAUGCAUUCAUUCAUAAUGGAUAAGAGUUUUGUUUUUCUUUUCAAAUUUUCAUUUUCCCUCCUUUAUCCCAAGAAAAAUAGUACCAGUGUCCACCCACUUAUUAAUUUCUUCUUAUAUAAACUAAUCAAUAUAAGCUCUUGUGUGUCAGGAAUCAAGUUUAUAUUUUCAUUUCUCAAUUAUAUAUAUGGGCUAUAUAAUGAUUGAUACCAUACAUGUGAAGAUAAUGAUUAUUGGUUUCUGUAGUUCAACUUUGUGUACGGCUUUUAAUUUCUCAUACACUUAGUACGGACAUUAUUAUGAUUCUGCUGAUAAUAAGUAGAAUAUCCAUACAUAUAUAUAUAAAUGUGAUAUAUAUUUAUAUAUAUGUGUAUAUUGUAUACAUAGAAUAGUACCAAUGGAGAAUAUUGAUCACAGCAAAGAGUUAGUACUUUGUUCAUUUGGGGAACUAUUUCUCUUACUGAAUGAGAGCACAAAUAAACUUUUACUCCUGGCUAGUACUAACUGUUACUUCUAGAACUAAAACUAGAACUAGCUAGGUAUAAAUAAAGGUAUAUGUAAGAUUUAUUUAUUUAGAUAUUUAUUUUUAUUUCUUUCCACAUUUUUAAUUUUUCCUUUAUACCUAUAUAUAUAUAUAUCUUGAAAGAAAUUGAUAAACCCAUUUUUGAAUUAGAUCAGGCUACACCAUUAAUAAUUACAUAUAUAUGUAAUAUUAAAAUUUGGGUUAAGAGAUGCAGUGUUCACAAUGACCUGAAACUUUUUUAUCAUCUAGUAGAUAUUUGUGUGUGUUAUGGGCUGAAAAGUGUGUAGUACUACUACUCACAAUCUCGAUGACUGUUUUUCUUACAUAUAUUACUCAUGAAGGGGGCAACAGGGUUCGAUGAGCAGAGAAAUAUAGUAUGUACACACAUUUAUUUAUAUAGAUAUAUAUAAAUAUGUAUGAUGUUUACAUAAAUUAUCAGUACUAUAAUAAUACCGUUAUGGACUUUACAGCAAUUAUUAAUGUCAUAAAUAUCCAAGCAUGCAAAGUUAGCUCUUAGUUAUAUGUCUAUGUAUAUGUAUAAUAUUCGUAUAUGUAUUGCAUAUUAAGGCAUAUAUAAGUGUGACUGUGAGGGUUAGAAUUGAUAGAGUAUUUAGUGUAAUUAUUAAGUUUACAUAGUAAGAAGAGUACGUAAGAUAGGGAAAGCAAAUGGUCAAAGUAAAUGAUCUAUAAUUAAAAACCUUGCCCGUUUUCCUCUGUCAAAGGAAAGAGAGCCCAUUAGCAAAAAUUACUAGAAUUAUUUGUUGUUUUUGUCACCAAAUUUAGGAUCUUUAAGCUACCUUUGGUGGUGUAUUAAGUUCUCUGAGUUGUUAAAGAACUCAGAAGUUUUAGAAAACCUUAUUAAUUAAUAUAGAUCGAAAUUGUAGAGUAAGAUUAAUUUUGAGAGUGAAAAAAGGCAAACUAAGAAAGGAACCAAAUUCUUAGCCUAGCCCAAAUCCAAUCAAACUUUGGGUUUGUGAGACAGAGUUUGGGAAAAAUAACGAUUUGGUAAUAAAAUUAAUGUUUUAAUGAAAUAGUUCCUAAAAAAUCAUAUCAAAGUAUAUACUAGCUAUCUCUUUUCUGAAGCAUUUAUAAUUGACAUUAUUAUGCCUUCUUCACCUUUUUUUCUAAUGACAUAAAUGCCUUAAUUAGCUUGAGAAUCGUACACAUAAAAUAAAGUGACUUGUCUGCAGGUAUAACCAUUAGUAAAUAUUUUUUUUCUUGUUUUUAUGUGUACAUAUUAUGCAUAUACAUUACAAAUAUUUGGGAAACAUUUGGGUCCAUGUAUACUAUACCUCAGAUCGAGUGUAGUAACUAUCGAGCAUGCUUUGAAUACAGAUCAUACUGUGAGUAUAUAUAUAGACAUAAUAUAAUAUGCAUCAAUUAUUUCAUGAAUAAAGAUUCAUGAAGUCUCAUAGUAUAUAUAUAUAUACAUGUAUCAACUGUCUUUGUACGUGUGCAUAUAUAUAUAUAUAUCUGUUACACUGUGCCAGGGACAUAUAUAUAUAUAUAUACUGUAUGAAUUGAAAAUUUUGAACAUGAAAAUGAAAAUGAAAGGAAGAAUCUUAUAAUGCCAUGUCAAGUGGGGGCAAAUGUUGAGAAAAGGUGUUAUGUCAUUUUGAAAAAAGUGAAAAUUGAAGGGACAGGCCUUUAUUAUUCCUUCACCCAAAGCUCCACUGAUCCGUAGUACAAUGAAAUCGUAGGAAAUCCUUAUCGACUAGUAACAUGUUUGUAUUCACAUGCAACUUAUAAAUAAUGCAUGGACACCUCCGACUAUACCUCCUGCUUUUCCUUCUUUUUUAUUCCACAAAUGUUAAAAAGGCAUCUCUAGUACAACUUAAGUUAUAACAUUGUUAUUGUAGUAGAAUUAAGUAUCCAAUUUUAUAUAAUUUAAUGCAACAAUUUUUAUGAAGUAUCGAUUUUUAAUCGCAUUAAUAAAAAUGCUCUUUUUAUUCUAAUUCAUUAAUACAUGAUGAUGAAGUAUCGAUUUUAAUGUAGUUUUUUGCUUCUUUUUUGCUCAGUAUGUAUAUACAUAUAUAGUAGAUGAUAUUUAUUUUGCUAUACAGUUAGACUACAAGAAAGGGCUCUAUCGAUAACAUUACUACAUCACAAAUUGGUAUGUAUAACUUCUACCAACGUCAAGUGUUACUGUUGCUAUGAUUUUAUGAUAAAAGUGUUAAUUCUAUUUCUUGAGUACAAAUAUAUGUGAAGUUAAUACUCAAAAAUAAGUACAAUAUAUGUGAAUCUAUAAUAGUGUAAAUAUACUUUCAUAAAUAAUUUGAUAUAUAUAUAGAUCAAGAUUUUUCUUCUUCUUAUUACUCCUUCUUUCGUUGGAUAAAAAUGAAACAUUUUCUAAUGCUACUGUUGAUUUAAGAGUGUCUUUUCGAAUCUUGUAACAGAAAUUGAAUAAUUAAUAUAAUUCAAAAUAAUUACAAAAUUAACUUCAUGUAAAAAUAAAAAACCUAAAUAAUUUGAUGGUUGUGACGAAUAUUUUAUUUCUUUUGGUCUUCUUUUAUGGGUGAAAAAACAGAAGAUUCUUUUAGAACUAUUUCUAUUGCUAAUUGUUCAGUUUCAUAAAAUGCAUCGAUUAAUGCUGAAUGCCCAUGUGGCCGGGGUGAAAAAAUGGUUUCGUAGGAUCUGGUAAAAAGUGGUCAAAUUAUGUAAAACUAACAAGAAUUUAUCAAAAAUAUUAGACAGAUUUUCUACUAUAAAAUGAGAAUAUAAUUUCUAAGUGUAAGAAAAAAAAAACAACACUCCUACCAUAUGUAGAGGUAAAAAACAUGCACGAUCCCUUUAGGAAUUCCAUUAAUUGAUGAGUGGGUUAGUUUAUGACAAAAUGUUAAUUAUAGCUUAUACAACUGCCCAGCACUUAAGUACGGACACUAUAUUUUUUGUUUCCAAUAUAUAUGUACAGCAAUAUUAAUAUAUAAUGGAUCAUGAUGAUAUAUAACACCUUUUGAAAAAUUAUAACAUAUACAGAUACAAUAAUAGGGGAACUAGGGCCACGUGUACGACCCUCUUUUUUUUUCUCAAAAAAUUAUAGUUUUUUUUUUUUUGAAAAAAGUUAUUAUAAAUUAAAUACAGCUAUUUACAAUAACAAAGAAAAUAGUAGAAGGAAUUUCUUCUAUCCAUAUAUAUACAAUCACUAUCCAACUGUAAUGCUUGUUUAGCCAGGCCAUAUGCGGCUUGAUUAGCAUCCCGUCUAGUAUGAGAUACGCAAGUAUUAGAGAAAGAGGAUAAAUGAUAUGAAACAUCUUUAACCGAAUCAUAAAAAACAGAAUAUUGUCACGAUUUUCCAUUUAACACAUUGACAAGCAUUAAGCAACCUGUUUCCAUAUAGUGAAGUUGUAGUUGCAAUUGUUCAACCUAUUGAAGACCACAGAACAUGGCCUUGGCUUUUCAUCUCCUGCGACUUGUAAUUUCCGACUACUGGUUAAUUUGGACAUUGCAGCCACAACACAACCAUUUGAAUCCUUAAUAAUCACACCAAUACUAAUUUUACUCCUCGAAGAAUCAAUAGCCGCAUCAACAUUCAUUUUUAAUUUGGUCUCUGGAGGAGGUUGCCACAAAAUGCAGUCUACUGGAGCUGCUGCACUAACAGCUACUGGUUUGACAGCAUUGUUAAAAUUUUGAAAAUUGUCCAAGUAUGCAUCAACUUGUGACAAUAUUUGGACCGGUUUUUUCAGUUAUUUUCCAUGAAUGAAGUUGUUUCUAUCUGACCAAGUAAAUCACAUUAUGCAGAUUACUCUUCCCAAUUCAGACUUGGUUAGAAUUGUGGAUAAAUACAUCAUAUAGUCACCAUCUUUCAUACGAUCCGCUUUAUUGAGAUCAAAAUUAGUAAUUUGCCAGACUGCUUUGGCAUGACAACAAGAGAAAAGAGCAUGUCCCAUAGAUUCCCAUGCCAUUGAACAUAGUGAACAAGUAGCAGAGGUUAUGAUUUUUUUAUGAAACAAAGAUUUGACGACUGGAAGGGCAGAUUGAAUAACUCUUUAUCCAAAAAAUUUCACCUUGGAAGGAAGAGUUAUGCCCCAAAACAGAUUCCACCAGACUUCUUGAGCAUUUGAACUUGAGAAUACAUCAUGUUGCGAUAAUUUGCACACGCAAGUGUACGUACCGUUUCAAGUAGUAGACUCACCAGGAGUGGGGUCGAUCCCACAGGGAGUGUAGUUAAGUACAUUAAAAUUAAACUUUUACUUCUAUUUGGUUAAAUAAAAAUAAAGAAAGAAUUAAAAAUAAGAAACUAGUAAGAAACAAUUAUUCAAGAAAAUUGAUAGUUAAUAAAAACUAGGGCUUCGAUUUCAAUUGUUUCUAUUGAAUAUGGUCUAAUAUGAUUAUUUUCCUAAUAUUAAUUUCUAUGCAAUAGCACGUUUACUAAGGUAAUUUAUAGUCUUCUGAGAUAUAUAAAUCUCAAUUACAUGCAAACUUUCUACUCUCGUGAUAAAUUUAACAUGGAAUAGGCAUUAAGCAUAAAAACCCCAUAAGCUAUCUAAACCAUAUAGGUACUCUCGUCCUAUAUCGAAAUUCAGUUCUAUUUUACUAUAGCAUAUUUCACACUCACUUCUCAGAUCUCGCAUCAAACUCAUAGACAGAUAAUUGGUGAUCAGGCAAUUAAAAGUAAUUAAGCACAAAUAAAAUAGAAUACAUAGAAAUUAGGGGGAAAAUAAAUCAUAUUAAAACCAUAAACAAUGUUAAACAAUAUUCAUAUAACCCUAAUUAAAGUGUUUAGCUACACAUGUUCAUUGAAGCACAAUUACACAUAUUAACUUUAAGAAAAGAGAUGAAAAUAGAGAAGAGAAGAAGAAAAGAAUGCUGAAAAAUCCUGAGCAGUGUGCCUCCAAUAUUGCAGUUGAUCUCUCCACUCUGUAUCUGAAUUCUCUCUUUUUUUCUCUUUGAAAUUGCUUGACUGAAAUCAACUCCAGUUCAUCCUUUAUAUAGGCUUUCAGGGACUAAAAAGAUAGAAAAACGCACAUGUUAAAUGCCUAUACGAUUUUUGUGCUGUUUAGGGGGGCGGGCCGCGGCAUGCUAAAGCCAUGCCGCGGCCCGUGUUGGAGGUGAUUUUUCUGCUGCGUCGACUAAUAGUAUUUUGGCCAUAACUCUCUCGACAUUGCUCGGAAUCGGACGAUUCAAGAUGUUCUGAAAAGAUAAAAGAGAGAUAUAGAACUUUUAUAUUUUGAAUUUGUUCAAAAUCUUAUCAGAAGAUAGUCGAAUUCAGGCUUGAAGUUGCAGCUUUAUUUUCAUACACAGUUUUCUCUAUUUUAAAUAUCAUCUUUUUGUGAGAUAUUUUUAUCUUUUUUUCCAUCUUUUUCCUCUUAUAUUUUUCUAAUCUUCUUUUAUUUUAAAUCUGCAAAAAUAAAAGAUAACAAGCGUAAAAAUGCUCCAAAUACGAUUAAAACUCAAUUAAAAAUAUACUAAACUUAAUCUAAAAUUAAUACUAAAAAUAACCUAACACAUCACGAUCUUCAUAAGAUUAGGCCAAAUGAUAACCUGUUUUAACAGUGUAUUCCCCUGAACAAUCAUAAUGCCAUGUAUCCAUCUAUUAUUGCAGGGAUGGAAAGGCAAUGGAAUAGUAAGAAUUCGCUCUACAUGAUCAGCUGGUGAAAAAUUAGCUUGUAGGAGCUCCAAGUCUUAUUCCCGUGAUGCUGAUAUGUAGUCUGCAACUUGAUUCACAGCUUGUCCAGUAAAGCGCAAUGGUUUAAAAUAUUCAUGGCCAGGAAUCCAUGAAUCAUAAGCACACCUCAAAGUAGUACCAUCUCCAAUUUUAAUCCUUAAUCCUUUCGGUAACAACUCUCUACCCCAAACGAUACUCUGCCAUGUUAAAGAGGACAAUCCACCAGCAGUAGUGGACAUGAAAUCAUUGUUGGAGUAGUAACGAACCUUUACAACACGGCUUAGCAGAGUAUGAGGGUUUUGAAAAAUACGCCAAGCUUGCAUUGCUAAAAAGGCUUGGUUGAAAUGCACAAAGGAUCUAAAGACCAAUCCACCUUCUCGUUUAGAAGUACAUAGGGAUUUCCAAUUCUUCCAAUGUAUUUUUUUUAUUAUCUAAAGAAGGACCCCACUAAAAUUUUGUCAUCAUAGUCUCAAUCUGCUUACAAAACUUUGUAGAUAAUCUGAAACAACUCAUUGCAUAUGUGGGAAUUGAUUGCACAACCGCUUUCAAGAGCACCUCCUUUCCACCUAUUGAAAAAAUCUUAUCAUUCCAAGCAUGCAUUAAUUUCCAAAUUCUCUCCUUAAUGUUGUUGAAUAGUUGUGAUUUAUCCCUUUCUUAUAUGCGGGGAGGCCCAAGUAAGAUUCAUGACACUCACAAAUCGGCAUGCCCAAAAUUUGCUGAAAAGAAUGCUUAACAGCCUCCAGAGUGUUAGGCGAAAAGGACAUAAACGACUUAUCCGUAGUUAAAAGUUGACUAGAAGCACGAUGAUAGAUAUCUAGAGCACGUUUGAUUGAAUCAUAUGAUCAGUCAUUAGCUUGACAUAAGAGGAGACUAUCAUUCGCAAAUAAAAGAUGUGUAAUUGUCGGAGAGUGUCGAGACACAACCAGACCCUUAAGUCUUCCAACUUGUUCUUCAUACUGUAGCAAGCGUGAAAGACCUUCUGAAAAAAUAAGAAGGAGAUAUGGGAAGAGCGGAUCACCUUGACGUAAGCCUCGUUGAGGAACAACUGAACUUGAAACUACACCAUUGAUAAGGAAAGAAAAGGAAUUUUUAUGUAGACAAGUCAUAAUGAGUGAAAUCCAUUUAAUAUUAAACCCCAUCUUCCCCAUAACAGCAGCGAUAAAAGACCAUUCAACUCGAUCAAAGGCUUUUCUCAUAUCAAGUUUGAGGGCAGCAAAACCCUUAGAGCCUUGUGUCCUAUGUUUCAAACUGUGCACCAUUUCAAAAGCAACAAGAAUGUUAUCCGUAAUCAAAUGAUUAGAAAGAAACGCACUUUGAGUUUCAAAGAUAACCGAAUGAAGAACCUCUUUGAAUCGUAAUGCUAGUAUUUUUGAAAUAAUGUUAUAAGUAACAUUGCAUAAGCUUAUCAGGCGAAAAUUCUUCAUUGUCUUUGGUUUUUUGACCUUCAGAAUUAAAGUAAUGAGUGUAUGGUUGAAGGCUUCAAGACUGGCACCAUUGUUCAAGACAUUAAGAACCACCUUAGUUACUAAAUCACCCACAAUAUCCCAAUUGUGUUGAUAAAACAUUGCCGACAUUCCAUCCAAACCUGGACUUUUAUCUGAACCCAUAGUUUUUGAAGCUGCAGUAACCUCCGAAGCAGUGAAGUCCUAUGAUAAAAAUUCAUUUUGUUCCAAAGAUUGUUGUUGGAAUUGUGGAUAAGACAUGAGAUAAAGCCCAAUGAUCCUCAUCAGAUGCAGUAAAAAGGCUUUUAAAAUAACCAGCAACCAAGUUAGAGAUUCCCUCUUUUGUAGUUGUGAUAUUUCCAUGAUCAUGAAUAAGAGCUUUGAUCCAAUUGUUUGAAUGUCGAGUUGAAGCUUUAAAGUGAAAGAAUUUGGUGUUACGAUCCCCCAAUUGAAGCCAUUCGACCCUCGAUCGUUGUUGCCAAUAUUGUUCUUCAUUUGCCAACAAUUCAUCCAAAAUAGAUUCAACUGAUUGAACAUUAAGGGAAUAAUUUGGAUCAGAACUAUCAGCAAAAUUUAAUUGUUGGACUUGUUUCUGUGCAAGAAAAAUAUCCUUUUUCAUUUUUCCAAAUUUCCUGAGAUGUCAUCCUUAAAGUUUUUUAGCACAAUUAUUCAAAGAAGUCACUAUACUAGUGGCACGGUCAUCACAUGCAUUACGACACCAAGAGUUGGAAAUAAUUUCAGAACACUCCUUAUCUUUAAGCAAAAAUUUCUCAAAAUCUAAACUGAGAUCUUCUUGGGGCAAUACAGGUUGGUGUUUGAGUGAAAACAAUUUCAACCAUUAAUACUCUAUGGUCUGAACCGUAGUAGUUUAAGUGACUUAGAUUUGGCAAGACUAAAGUGUCCUUCCAUACAUUUUAAAUGAAACACCAAUCAAUUCUCUCCUCUAAACCAUAUGGAUUUUUCUUAUUUUUAGCCCAAGUGAAAUCGUCAGCAGCAACAAGUAAGUCACUCAAAAGACAUUGAUCGAGUGUCGUUCGAAAAAGUUGCAUUUGAUUAUCACUUCUUUGCAUGCGGACCACCAUUUUUACGUUCAUGUGAGAAAAUUUCAUUCAUGUCACCAAUUAACAACCAUGGAUCAAGUGGUGAAACAUCAGCUAAUCUCCUUAUUGAUUUCCAAGUAUACUUUUUAUUAAUAGCUUCGGGAAAACAAUAAAUAGCAAAAAAAAGCCAACGAGGGCCCUCAUCAAGCAAGACAUAACAAUUUAAAUAAUUUGUAUUCAUUGAUAAAAGAGUUACAUCAACACCAUCUUGCCACAAUAACAGAAUACCACCUUUCAAUCCAACCCGAGCAACUUCUAAUCCGUUAUUAAAAUUUAAAACAUUUUUAAAGCGAGAAAGAGCACCAUCACACAAU